GCCAAGCAUGGUGGUGUGUGCCUGUGGUCCCAGCUACUCAGGAGGCUGAGGUGGGAGGAUCGCUUGAGCCCAGGAGUUCAAGGCUGUGGUGACCUAUGAUCGCACCACUGCACUCCAGCCUGGGCAACAGAGUGAGACCCCAUCUCAA
This 148-nucleotide non-coding RNA is filed under the name Nomascus leucogenys (northern white-cheeked gibbon). The record is from Rfam by way of RNAcentral. Lineage: Eukaryota; Metazoa; Chordata; Mammalia; Primates; Hylobatidae.